Molecule: long non-coding RNA, 2328 nt
Organism: Myxocyprinus asiaticus (Chinese sucker)
Lineage: Eukaryota; Metazoa; Chordata; Actinopteri; Cypriniformes; Catostomidae
Exons: 4
Source: RefSeq, a predicted model, not a curated record
UUGAAGUGUAAGCUGUGUAAGUCCACAUCGCGAUUUCAUUUUUAAUUCAAACAGUCGUGCACCCUUAAUGGAUACCAUAUGGAUAUUUCAGAGGUUAGUCUACAGGAUUACAGCGUUUUGGAUGAUUUUCUCCUCAUCAUGUACAAUCGAAGUAAGAAAGUCAAUCAUAUCUGGGAUGGCAUGAGGAUUGCUGAGAACUUGAGUGGCAGGUUACAAGUUGAAGCAGCUGAGGGCCAGCAACCCUGUUGUUUCAAUGAGGACAAACUUUGAUUGUGAAGAUGGUUCAGUGGUUUCUGAGGACUCUACAGAGGACGAAGGCCCCCAGCAGAUGGGAAACAUCCCAGAGCUGGACCUCUCCAUGAUUUCCAACAAUAAAUAGUGAAAACCUGCAGGAAUUUGAGUUUUUAAGUGCCUUUUAAGAUUUUAUAUGGAUUGAUUUGAAUUUUUUACUGUUUCAGGUUUAAGGUGUUACAUUUGUUGUUAUUGUUCCUGUUGUUCUUGUAAUUUAAAGGUGCUAUAUGUAAUAUUUUUACUGUACUAAAUCAUAAAAUGACCAUAAUAUGUCAUUAGAGAAUUAGGAAACAUGCUAAGUUGAAAUACUGGCUUCUCCGAUAACAAUGCUACAGCCAGUAUAUUCUACUUUGAAGUUUCCAUUCCAGGCGGGAAUUUCUGUUUAUGUUUUGGCCUGUGUGAUCCCGCCCACUGCCCACUCACCAAUAGUAUUUCGACACCGCCGUGUUGCCAGAUUUGCACAAGUUUGCAGGCAAACAACACUGCUUGCUGCAGCCAUGGAAGCCAGCAAACGAACUGGAUCAGAGAUAACAGAUUCCACCCGACCUAAAAAGCUUCGCCAUCCGUCUAAAAACCACCAUGACCAGAGGCGAAGUAAAACAAGGAUUUUAUUGGAGAUGCCUUUUGAAGAUGGAGACAGCUUAAAGCCCAGAAAUCCUUUAAAACGGAUCCUGUUGCGUGUCCUCAUUCUGGCAACCCACAUGAGCUUCGAGUCUGGGGCGGGGCAGACAACUCUCCAAUAUUUAGAAUUUAGACUGUAGUACCCAUUUCAAACACUUGUUGUCAAUCUUACAAAUAGCACCUUUAAACAUAUUUGUAAAUAAAUUGUAAUUACUAUUGUUCUUGUUGUUCCUCAUGUUGAUCAUGUUCCUGUCAUUAAUCAUUUUCCUCAAUUUAAUAAAUAAGUAAUACAAUUAUUUACAAUGUAUAUAUUAUAAAUAUAAAUUUUUUAAUAUUUAAGUGAACAGACUCUUUAACAAAUAUCACAUACAUAGUUCUGACACUGAGUUCAAAAAAACUUGAUUCAAACAUGUUGAAAAUAUUGCAUUUUCGGUGGUUGGAUUGCUAUAGGAUUGCACUUGACCACAUUAAAUGCCAGGUGUAAAUGCACCCAAAAUGCAUUGUGAUCGGAUCACUGAAACCACAUUCGGAGGUGGUCAGGAACGGAUUCUGACCACAUUCAAAGAAGGUGUAAAUGCAAAUGUGUUUUCGUUAUCUGGAUACAACUAUGUAAGUAAUGAAUUAUGUGAUGAGGUUACUCUACAGUCAUCUAUUGUUAAAGCGCUGUGUUGUGUGUUCUUGCAUUUUUCUGUUUUCAGCCAUUGCAAUGUGAAGAACACAACAGACACUGCUGUCUUGCAAUCUUGUCACUCAAACAAUGAACACAAUCCCAUGAAUUAUUCCAAAGGAAUACACUUGGAAUAUCUUGUCUCUCUCCUCAAAUCCACUCUCACUCGCAUCUCUAUCCUGUUUUCUACUCAUGCGCGUCACACAUGAAACCAGGCUUGUGUGCUGAGCGCAAGAUGAAUAUCAUAAAAUUAGCUUCAGCGACCUGGAAUUUUGCUUUGGCAGACUUCUUUGAAUUCUACCUGCUCAACACCAAUUUUAUGUACAACAGUAAAGAGAAGACUCAGGGGUGCAGGCCUAAUGGGAAGAAUUGCAAAGAAAAAGCCACUUUUGAAACAGAAAAACAAAAAGAAAAGGUUAGAGUGGGCAAAGAAACACAGACAUUGGACAACAGAUAAUUGGAAAAGAGUGUUAUGGAUCUUAACCCCAUUGAAGUUUUGUGGGAUCAGCUAGACUGUAAGGUGCGUGAGAAGUGCCCGACAAGACAGCCACAUCUAUGGCAAGUGCUACAGGAAGCGUGGGGUGAAAUGUCACUUGAGUAUCUGGACAAACUGAAAGCUAAAAUGCCAAGGACCUGCAAAGCUGUCAUUGCUGCACGUGGAGGAUUUUUUGAUGAGAACAAAACAUUUCAAAUUGUAAUAGUAAUUUUUCACAUUAUUAAUGUCCUGACAAUACAUUGUGAUCAGUUGA